Molecule: long non-coding RNA, 3719 nt
Organism: Myxocyprinus asiaticus (Chinese sucker)
Lineage: Eukaryota; Metazoa; Chordata; Actinopteri; Cypriniformes; Catostomidae
Exons: 4
Source: RefSeq, a predicted model, not a curated record
AAAACAGGCUGCAUGACACUGAUAAAUGAUUACUGCCAGAGUAACAUUCACAUACAGGUAGAAAAAGUGCGUGCACUCGCAUGUAUGGUUGCCAGACUGCAUAAGUUAAGAAUGACAUAAGUAGAAUUUGGAGAUACUUGAAUAUAAAGAUUUGAACCAGGAGUUUGAAUAUCUUCUAUGUAGAUGUUCUGAUGGAUGGCUGCAGCUAAAGGUUCAAUGAAAAUGGUGAAUAGAGAAGGAGAGAGUGGGCAUUCUUGCCUAGUCCCCCUGAGCAAUGUGAAGCUGUGUGAGGUUUGUCUGUUAGUGAUAACCGUGGCUGAAGGAGCAGUGUACAAAAUCUUGACCCAAUUAAUAAAUUAUUCUCUAAAGCCAAAUCUUUGUAAUGUUGUAAAGAGACAUUUCCAGUUUACUCUGUCAAAGGCCUUUUCUGCAUCCAAAGUGGCUACGAUGGUACCUGCUUGUUGUAAUGAUGAAUAAUACAUUAAAUUAAACAGUCUGUGUGUGUUACUGGAUGCGUGCCUUCCUUUGAUAAAGCCGGUUUGAUCUGAGUGAAUUAUAGACGGAAUGACUUUCUCUAUUCUGUGAGCUAGUGCCUUAGUGAUGAUUUUUAUAUCUACGUUGAUGAGAGAAAUGGGACAUUAACUUGAUGGCAAGGUUGGAUCUUUGUUGGGCUUUAAGAGGAAUAUUAGCUGGAAAUCUUGAAUUUGUUUUAUUUCAAGUAUUAGUUUAUUAAAGAGCGGAGAGAGAAUAGACCAGAAGUGUUUAUAGAACUCAGCAGGGAAGCCAUCGGGUCCUGGUGGUUUGUUGUUUGGCAUACACUUGAGGGCUUUGGAAAGUUCCUCCUGUGUUAUUGGUAAAUCCAGUAUGUCAGUUUGAUUUUUUUUAAGCUGUGGUAAAUCAAUGCUUUUGAGAAAUGAGUUGAUAUCCUCUUGAUUUGGGUCCUUCUCUGAUGAAUAUAGAUUGGCGUAAAAAUUUCUGAAGAUUUUAUUUAUUUAUUCGGGUGAGUUUAUAGGCUUCCCUGCUGAGUCUUUAAUGAUGGAGAUUGUUGUUUUUUCUUUAUUUUGUUUAAUUUGAUUUGCCAAGUAUUUACCAGAUUUAUUAUUAUGGUGAAAUUCUUCUUGUCGAAGUCUGUUUAUGAGGAAUUGAGUUUUCUUAUUUAUAAUUUCAUUUAGUUGGAGUUUAUAUUCUCUAAAUUCAUUUUGGGUUUCCUCAGAUGGGUCACUUGCAUUAAUAAUUUUGAGAUGCUUGUUAUUUUUCCUUCCUUUUUUUAUAGAUAGAGAAUGAAAUUAUCUGACCUCUUGAUACUGCCUUUCCUGUUUCCCACAGAAGAGAUGGUGAUGACUUUGAAGAAUCAUUUAUUUCAAGGAAGGAUGCCCACUAUUUUCUAAAAAGAACUGUCAAACUCAGGGUCUUUAAGGAGAGAUGUAUUAAAGCGCCAUCUAGAGAUGGGUUUAUGUCGAUCGGUUCUAUUCCAUGUAAAAGAUACUGUGGCAUGGUCACUUAUAAUGAUGGGGUGGAUCUUUGAGUCUGAAAUAUUCUAUAUAAUUGAAUUGCUGGUGAGAAAAAAUCAAUGCGAAAUGAGUGGAGAACCGGUGAGAAAAAUGGGUAUUCUCUAGCAGUUGGAUGCUGCAAUCGCCAACUAUUGCCAAGACCAAAAUCGCUUAUGAACUGUUUUAUUGUUUCCAUGGAUUGCCAGUUACAUUUAUUGUUUGAAAUGUUAGAUCGGUCUAGUGAUGAGUUGAUAACUGUGUUGAAGUCACCUCCUAUUUUGACUGGGCAAUUGGAAGUGUUUGAGAUGGAAGAAAAAAAUUAUGAAAAAAAGAUGGGUCAUCAGUGUUUGGGCCAUAAACAUUACAGAUUGUUACUGAACUAUUAUUGAUUGAUAUGUUUAUGAUAAUAAAACGUCCUUCAGGAUCUGUGAUAGUAGUAUUAUGGACAAAUGAAACUUUUUUUUUUAUUAAGAUACAUACUCCUCUUUGUUUUGAGUUGUAAUGGCAUUCAUAAUCAUUCUGCAAACGUGCCUCAUCUCCCCACAGUAUUCAAGCUCACCUCGCCGCACAGCCCUGAUAACUAUGAAGCAAGCGCUUCUACAAACUUCUACUCAUCUCUAGACCAUAACAUGACAUUCUCUCCUCCUGCCCAUGACAAACGCUUCACGCAGUUAAAAUCAAUCCAUCGUUUUUUUUUUACAGGGAAGUCCUCUCUACUUUUGCCCAAAUCAUUUGAUUACAAACUCUUAACAAGCUAGACCAUAGAACCUAAUUGCUGCAUGACUUUAAAAGCAUUCAACAAUCUGUCAUAAUCUUACAUUCCACCCAAGUUUAAAGUAACGGGUUUACUACCACCCCUGGAGUCGCGAGUUCGAAUCCAGGGCAUGACUCCAGCCAGACCAAAUUGGCCCGGUUGCUAGGGAGGGUAGAGUCACAUGGUGUAACCUCCUUAUGGUCAUGACUAGGGGUUCUCGCUCUCAAUGGGGCAUGUGGUAAGUUGUGCGUGGAACGUGGAGAGUAGCAUGAGCCUCCCGUGCUGUGAGUCUCCGCAGUGUCAUGCAUAACGAGCUACGUGAUAAGAUGUGCAGAUUAGUAUAAGACUAAUAUAAAGUCUCAGAAGCAGAGGCAACUGAGACUUGUCCUCCGCCACCCGGAUUGAGGUGAGUAACCGCGCCACCAUGAGGAACUACUAAGUAGUGGGAAUUGGGCAUUCCAGGGAGAAAAGGGGAAAGUAACAGGUUUAAAUCGACGUCGGUUGAUUCAGCUUUGCACUUUGCUUCAUACUCACAAUAUUUAAGUUUUUCUGUAGAAUUUAUUACACGUCAUCAAUAUAAACAAGUCAUUUUAUUCACCACACAACUGCAAAUUGUGCCCAUAUAGUAUCUUUUAAAUCCUACCCUCAGGCAUAAACUCCAAAUGAUUCCAUACGUCCUCGUCAAAAUGAGACGAGUCACCCCGUGCCAAUAAUACAGAGUUCAUGAAAUUACUCGCAUUAUGUUGGAAAACAAUCUACAAAGCUCCAAACCAUACGCUUAAGUUAAAUAAACAUCAGACUAUGGUAUUUAUCUGGGUAAUUAGUUUCAGGUGCCUUCUAAUUCCAUGACAAACCAACUUUAAAUGAAGUUGUACGUAUGCACACGCAAGCAUAUUCCUGACAUCGCUUCCCAUAUGUUCCCGACAUUUAAUCUAGCAAACAGCUAAGUUUAAGGCGUCCGCAGACCAGGCCCGUUUCCAGAUCAAAAUCACUGAGGGUGCUUCUGAAAAUUGUGGGGGUGCUCUGUAUAAAGUGGAGAUGUAUCAUAAUUACAAAUUUUUUAAUAGAUUAAAUCAUGUUUAAAUGCUACUUAAACAACAUAAAGAAAAGUUUGUUUUUUUAAUGUAGAAAACAUUUAUUGCCUCAGGGUUUUUUUUCCCCAUGAUCUGUCGCUGAAAAUGACAGCAAAAUCAUUCACGUUUAUACAUUUUGAUGCAGCAUUUUGUGCAUUCACAAAAUGCAAGGAUUUUUGUGUGUUUGCUGGUAUUCAAGAAAAUCUGCUUGCCAGUUUACAGUAUUAGUCUUACAUAUUCAGUUGAGCAGGGGUGUGCAAUUAUUUUAGUACUGGGGCCACAUCAGUCGUUAAGUAGAACAUGGAACAGAGAAGAUAAAAAGUUCUGCAUAGUUUUAUCUUUUAAGCCCAGACAUGCACUCAAUGUGUAUACUGAUGGGACCAUUCUGCGAUUGCUUGAAGU